GACGUAGGGCGCGAGCGUUGUCUGGAAUUAUUGGGCGUAAAGAGCUCGUAGGCGGUCUGUUACGUCUGCUGUGAAAACCCAGGGCUUAACCCUGGGCUUGCAGUGGAUACGGGCAGACUAGAGGCAGGUAGGGGAGAAUGGAAUUCCCGGUGUAGCGGUGAAAUGCGCAGAUAUCGGGAGGAACACCGGUGGCGAAGGCGGUUCUCUGGGCCUGACCUGACGCUGAGGAGCGAAAGUGUGGGGAGCGAACAGG
This 253-nucleotide ribosomal RNA is filed under the name uncultured bacterium. Its description in RNAcentral is "partial 16S ribosomal RNA". It matches the Rfam family "Bacterial small subunit ribosomal RNA", at positions 524 to 776 of the family's 1533-position model. The record is from RNAcentral.